UUGUCGCCGGGAGUGAAGCGGGGACGGAGGAGUGACACCGCCGCGGACUGACGGAAUAGUCCGUUGAAGAGUGUAGGUAUUCGGAGGCCAGGCAAAUCCGGUCUCCGAGCUGAACUUGACAGUACUGCGAGCCUUCGGGCAAGCAGACAGCGCGGGUAAUCAGACUCCCAAGAAAAUCCGCUAAACAUAUGUCGGCGACACCCGUACCGAAACGGACACACGUGGUCGGGUAGAACAUACUAAGGCGCUCGAGAGAUUCACCGUUAAGGAACUAGGCAAAUUGACCUCGUAACUUCGGGAUAAGGGGUCCCACAGCGAUGUGGGCGCAGAGAAUAGGUCCAGGCAACUGUUUAACAAAAACACAGGGCUGUGCGAAAUUUAAAGAUGAAGUAUACAGCCUGACACCUGCCCGGUGCCGGAAGGUUAAGAGGAGAAGUCAUCGCAAGAGAAGCUUUGAAUUGAAGCCCCGGUAAACGGCGGCCGUAACAAUAACGGUCCUAAGGUAGCGAAAUUCCUUGUCGGGUAAGUUCCGACCUGCACGAAUGGUGUAAUGAUCUGGACACUGUCUCAACGGUGAGCUCGGUGAAAUUGUAGUAUCGGUGAAGAUGCCGAUUACCCGCAACGGGACGAAAAGACCCCGUGAACCUUUACUGCAGCUUAGCAUUGGGACCGGGUGCGUGAUGUGUAGGAUAGUCCGGAGACAGCGAAGCGGGGGCGCCAGCCCUCGCGGAGUCGACGUUGAAAUACGGACCUUUGCGCAUCUGGUCUCUAACUCGCGGAAAGCGAGGACACUGCUUGGUGGGUAGUUUGACUGGGGUGGUCGCCUCCAAAAGAGUAACGGAGGCUUCUAAAGGUGCCCUCAGACCGAUUGGUAACCGGUCGCAGAGUGUAAUGGCAUAAGGGCGCUUGACUGAGAGGACGACAAUCCGAACAGGUAGGAAACUAGAGCAUAGUGAUCCGGCGGUACCGCAUGGAAGGGCCGUCGCUCAAAGGAUAAAAGGUACUCCGGGGAUAACAGGCUGAUCCCGCCCAAGAGCUCAUAUCGACGGAGUGGUUUGGCACCUCGAUGUCGGCUCGUCACAUCCCGGGGCUGGAGAAGGUCCCAAGGGUUAGGCUGUUCGCCUAUUAAAGUGGCACGCGAGCUGGGUUCAGAACGUCGUGAGACAGUUCGGUCUCUAUCUGUUGUGGGCGCGGGAGAUUUGCGGGGAUCCGACACUAGUACGAGAGGACCGUGUUGGACCGACCUCCGGUGAGCCGGUUGUACCGCCAGGUGCACGGCCGGGUAGCCGCGUCGGGGACGGAUAAGUGCUGAAAGCAUCUAAGCACGAAGCCAACCUCAAGAUAAGAUCUCCAUACAGGGCCGUCGAAGACGACGACGUCGAUAGGCUGCAGGUGUAAAGUCAGUGAUGGCAAAGCCGAGCAGUACUAAUUGCCC
RNAcentral lists this ribosomal RNA (1435 nucleotides) under metagenome. RNAcentral describes it as "bacterial LSU rRNA". It matches the Rfam family "Bacterial large subunit ribosomal RNA", at positions 1443 to 2910 of the family's 2925-position model. The record is from RNAcentral.